GCUCGUCUGGGCGAGGGUAAAAAGUGAUUAGGCCCAGAGCGUCCUGGUUGGCCGGAUCGGUCUGCUGGGGGUUCAG
Molecule: ribozyme, 76 nt
Filed under: unclassified sequences
Description: pistol ribozyme
Rfam family: Pistol ribozyme
Source: RNAcentral